UCUGUAUCUUCUGCAAACUUUGGUUCUUUCCAAAGUAAACCAUAAACUUUCGCAGACGAGUCAUAUUAUGUGAAAAGAGCUUCCGUAAUAUACAGACAGUAUUAUAAAAGGGAAAUGCUUUGAUCUCUAGAAUGGUCUCUAGGUAUCGGCGGAUGUCCCUGGCCCUGUUUGUACGGACAGCAAUCAAUAGGCAGGUCCGGGAUAAGUGGUUUUUUUGAAUCAGUUUUCCUAUGACUUGAGGGAUUGAACAUAUUUCUUUGUAGUCAUCUAAAAGGAAUAAGACCUGAUUCUUUAACUGCUGGAUAAUGUUCCUCAUGCACAUUUCAGUAACAGAUCCUUCUUUCUCUAGGAGCUGGUCACAGAUGAUACUGGCCAGCCCCUCGUCUGGUCUGGUGGAACUAAGGGAGAGGUAGAAAACCAGCUGGAACCUGUUUAACAGGGGACAGCAUCCAGAUGCCCACAGAAAAGCUAUUUUCUUCAGGAGGACCGUCUUUCCACUUCCAGCUUCACCCUCCACACACAUGACAGAGUUCAAGUUGCCAAAGACCUCAGGCAGCACCAGAGGUUCUUGCACAGGUUUGCUGAUGUGUUUUGAAGCAAUAGACAGAUCACAGCCCAGCAAGUGGUCCGUGGCCAGAUCGGAAGAGAUAUCAAGCAAAGACAUGUGGCGGAAACUGGCGCUGGUAUAAGCUGCUCUCAGCUGCUCAUUCAGAUUCUUUGCCUCUUGAAACCACUGGGCUUCACCCUGUGCCAUUUCUGUGGAGAGAAAGAAAGGGGGGCACAACAGGGAUUCAUAGUCACAUCUCCCUCAGUCUGAACGCCAUGCCUUUUCAUUCCAUGAUUCUGCCUGUCUACUACGAAUGUGUUAGGAUUUUCCACAGCCAUCCAUGAUUCCCACAUUGCAAUCAUCUCAUAGGUUUUGGCACAAAAUCGGAAUGUGGAAAGCAUGUGUCCAAAGUGCCACACUUGAAGCAGGGACCUAGACAUAAUGUGUGCUUAUCAUAAGCACCAUGCAUCUCAG
Molecule: long non-coding RNA, 1021 nt
Filed under: Homo sapiens (human)
Lineage: Eukaryota; Metazoa; Chordata; Mammalia; Primates; Hominidae
Description: HSALNT0089209
Source: RNAcentral